CCUACGGGCGGCUGCAGUCGAGAAUCAUUCACAAUGGGGGAAACCCUGAUGGUGCGACGCCGCGUGGGGGAAUGAAGGUCUUCGGAUUGUAAACCCCUGUCAUGUGGGAGCAAAUUAAAAAGAUAGUACCACAAGAGGAAGAGACGGCUAACUCUGUGCCAGCAGCCGCGGUAAUACAGAGGGCUCAAGCGUUGUUCGGAAUCACUGGGCGUAAAGCGUGCGUAGGCUGUUUCGUAAGUCGUGUGUGAAAGGCGCGGGCUCAACCCGCGGACGGCACAUGAUACUGCGAGACUAGAGUAAGGGAGGGGGAACCGGAAUUCUCGGUGUAGCAGUGAAAUGCGUAGAUAUCGAGAGGAACACUCGUGGCGAAGGCGGGUUCCUGGACAUUAACUGACGCUGAGGCACGAAGGCCAGGGGAGCGAAAGGGAUUAGAUACCCGAGUAGUC
RNAcentral lists this ribosomal RNA (446 nucleotides) under uncultured bacterium. RNAcentral's name for it is "partial 16S ribosomal RNA". It matches the Rfam family "Bacterial small subunit ribosomal RNA", at positions 338 to 795 of the family's 1533-position model. The record is from RNAcentral.